CUGUGUCAGUUGCACAUGGUGGAGUCUGAAAGGGUUUCAAUCUCUGGUGGCGUGGCGGGAAGGCGGCUGAUGGAGGAGCGCGAGAGCGGAGUGGAGCCAGGCCAGAGUCUACAGUUGGAGGCCGAAGUGGACAGGUUGGGCCUACAGCAUAAACUGCUGCGGCUGCCGCUGAGCCGGAUCAAGGGGCUGAUGAAGGCUGAUCCCGAUGUCUCGCUGGCGAGUCAGGAGGCCGUGUUCGCCAUCGGCAAGGCCACGGAACUGUUUGUUGAAGUGAUUGCGAAGGAUGCAUACUCAUUCGCUUUGCGGGGAAAGCGUAAAACCAUCCAACGAAAGGAUGUGGACAAUGCAGUUGAUGUUACAGAUGAAUUUGCAUUUUUGGAAGGAACUCUGGACUGAAUUGGAGCCAAGCUUCACUAGCGGCCACAUUGACUAUAGAUGGAGAGCUGUGUUCAAAGAUCUCACUGUAUAAGUGAUUUGAUGAACUUUCCAUGUCAGCUCCUGAAUGCGAGAGUUUCAUAUUCCUGAGGGGAACAACCAUUUGAUGAGCUGUCUUCACAAAUCAAGCACUGGUCCUUCUGAGAAUUCCUGAAAAAAAAUGGGAAGAGUUAUCUACAUCUUCGAUAAAGAGAACAGAUUUCACUUAUGGAAUUUUGGUCAAGUAUUAGCAGUGAAUAGGGGACAUAACUUGAAACUUUGACAGUGAGUGCCUCUAAGAUGAAGGUGUACUCAAUAUUUCAACAUAUCACAAUCUUGUCAAAAAUCCAACCAGUCUUUAAAUACAGUACAUGCAAAAAGCAGCUGAACAGUUACUGCAUCACCGUCUUUCAUUAAAUGUCCUUACAGUUCAUCAACUGACUAUCUGCAAGAGCUAGAAUUACACAGGUCCCCUUAAGUUGAAGCAAACCAAACUCAAAAAGACACACAGGUCAUGGCAGGAAAGUCAGCAGCCUGGAUUUCAUAUUCUGAAACAGACCUGUAAAACCAAGCUGAACUGUACUGUUAUAAGUUUCCACAGAAUAUAAGAAAUCUAAUAGCAAUAAAUGAUAUUUUCUGCACAGUAGGACAAUUGCAGAAUUGUUCCUCUCAAUAGAAAUUAUUUAAAAUUGUCUAUAAUAAUAAUAAUCUAAUCAUUAUAGCUCUACCAGAGGGUCAAGCAGAAGUGAUUUACAGAGAUUAGAUGUCUCUUGUUGACUUGCACAAAGUUGGAUACCUCUCAGUAAAUUCCACAGAAAUUGGAUACUUCAGAGAGAAAUGCAUGAAGAUUGGAUACAGUACCUACAAAUAAUGUUGCAUGUAAACUGUAUUCUGCCUCUAACUUUAUUUUGACUUGCUGAAGAACAUUAUAUUGUUUAUUCUGUGUAAGGUAUACUUCACAUUUUUAAAUCAGGUUUUAAUACUGUAAAACCUAUGGCCCAAUGUCUAUAGUACUGAAUACAAAGAUGAGGUAUAUCAUUGCAAUUAAGUGAAGGCUACCUUGCACUCUAAAAGUCUGGAGAUUUUAGUUGAACAUAAUUAUGGGAAGGAUCUUGUACAUUCAACAUAAAGGUCUCACUAAUGAUUUAGGAUGCCUUCAAAAGAAUUUCCAGUGGCACAUCACUUUAGCAUGUUUGCAUUCCGCUGACACGAUUUUAGCAUAGCAGUAAUUUAAGCUGAUACUUUCUCUGAAAUAGUGAUCCAAUGAACACUUUUGGAGUGCACUAAACACUCUGCUAAUUAUCUUGUGAUAUCUUAAGACAGCUUUGCAAGAAAGGUCAAACAGUUGAAUAAAAUCCUAAUUUAGGAAGAUCUUUGGCAGUAUGUAAAUCUUUUCAAUAGAGCAAUAAAAGAACUCUGAUUCUUAAUAUCAUAAUAAAAUAAUGGAUUACCUUU
This is an RNA transcript of Rhincodon typus (whale shark), 1869 nucleotides long. It is a transcript of the gene named polymerase (DNA-directed), epsilon 4, accessory subunit, with no coding region annotated. Lineage: Eukaryota; Metazoa; Chordata; Chondrichthyes; Orectolobiformes; Rhincodontidae. The record is from RefSeq and is a predicted model, not a curated record. The transcript has 6 exons.